This 1013-nucleotide long non-coding RNA is filed under the name Bos indicus x Bos taurus (hybrid cattle). RNAcentral's name for it is "lncRNA (ENSBIXG00000026202.1)". The record is from RNAcentral. Lineage: Eukaryota; Metazoa; Chordata; Mammalia; Artiodactyla; Bovidae.
GAGACAGCUGAGGGGGAGGGGCCCCGCGACGCCCCGCUCUCCCGCCGCCGUCCUCCUCCUCCAGCUCCAGUCAGUGGAGCACAAGAACGUGCCCCCCCCCGCCCCCGGCGUGGACGAAAACGCCUGGCCCACGCCCCGGAAGUUCGCCCCUGGCCCAGCCAAGUCUGUCUGGUGACCCAUGUUGCGGCCGCACUAAGGCCGCCCCGGCCCAUAGCGCGGAUUCAAGAACCUGGAGACCGUCUCCGCGGCCCGGGCCCACUGCGCCGGAGGAGCCGCCUACCCGCCAUAACGGCGCAGGUGCGCCGGCGUGCGGAGCGGUGCAUUUCGGGACGUAUAGUUUUCCCGCGGCAUGGUGGGAGUCGUGGUUUGUGUGCGGCCCCGCCUACCCACCAUGACGUAGAGUCGCCUACCCACUAUGGUGGCUCAGGCUCCCUGAGCAGGCUUAUUGCUCCGGUGCGCGGAGCGGUGCAUUUCGGGACGUGUAGUUUCCCCGCGGCAUUGUGGGAGUGGUGGUUUGCGCGCGGCUCCGGAGCUGGAUCCUCCGCGGCCUUGAGCUAACAGUGGGACCUGUCCCAAGCAGGUUCCCGCCCCUCCUUGUCUGCGUGGCCCACACAACCAGGAGUGGAGCCCCAGUUGGUCCAGCAUGAACUGGAAGGUGCUUGAACACUUCCCCCUGCUGCUGUAUAUCUUGGCGGCGAAAACACUAAUCCUCUGCCUGGCGUUUGCCGGAGUCAAAGUCUACCAGAGGAAACGAUUGGAAGCAAAGCAGCAAAAGGUGGAAGCUGAGAAGAGGAAGCAGGCGGAGAAGAAAGAGAGCUAAAGGGGAGUGAAAGAUUUUGUGGUGUAACUGUCAGCUCAAGUGGACUCCAGCUGAGAAGAAAGUCUUAAUUAUUGAACAAUAUGUCAGAAGACAAACUCGCAGCCUCUAGUCUAACUGAAAAUGAUGUGAAUUUUUAUAUGCUUUUAGAAGAACCAGUAUUUUGUUUGCUAAAAUAAAAUAACCUUUGUAGAAU